GUGAAUCAUCGAAUCUUUGAACGCACAUUGCGCUUCCUGGUAUUCCGGGGAGCAUGCCCGUUUCAGCACCAGCAAAAACUCUCAAGAGAAGGGAAUUUUUCUUUUCGGAGGAUCUUUCCUUGUUUUGGUUUUUGGUUUGUCUUCGUUCACCGGGUCGAUACGGUCGGGGUCGAACGGAGACGAGGCCUUGAAUUCAUCGAGCGGUACACGUCUUGUGUAACCAAAGUGCAACAGAAAUGUUACUCCUCUUUGGGAACACGUUUUGGGCGCUGCUGCUCUGUUUUUCAAACAUUCGUGACG
Molecule: unclassified non-coding RNA, 300 nt
Filed under: uncultured fungus
Lineage: Eukaryota; Fungi
Description: sequence contains 5.8S rRNA gene, ITS2
Rfam family: 5.8S ribosomal RNA (bases 1-71)
Source: RNAcentral